Molecule: non-coding RNA, 2318 nt
Organism: Paramormyrops kingsleyae
Lineage: Eukaryota; Metazoa; Chordata; Actinopteri; Osteoglossiformes; Mormyridae
Source: RefSeq, a predicted model, not a curated record
GUUAGGCGUCGAAAGUCAGGCACAGCAACGGGCGGCAGGGAAGGUCCCCUGCUGUGACAGGAGCAGAGGGUAUUUCUCAGUACACGUACUUGUCUGUACUUGUGUUCUCGCGCACCUGUGUCACAUCAUCUUCCAUGGCCGAAGACCAGUUCCAAUAGUAAGCACAGAAGUAAGGAGGAUGCUAAAAGUCCCCGGAUGUCAUUCUUGCUCCGCCCCAGAUAUCAAGGAGACAUCGGAUGCAUCCUCACCAAACGAGACCAAUCCCAUGAAUCAUUGCACCCCAAGUUUGUUCCUGGGAGACGAGUUAGCAAGACUGGUCUUGCCAAGACCACAAGUACGUUCUUGACGUUCUUGAUAUUAGGAAACACCCAGUGCAUGACAGAGGGGACCUGCACAACUUCUACGUGCGGCGUCGAUGGAGGCCGGAGGCUCCUCUGUUAACAUGCUGCUCAAAACUGGCUGACAUCUGUUUUCCUCCCCGCUUGGUACGAUGGCUCUUGCAGCUCACAGCGGCUGGUUUCACCAGGUCGGUCUUUGGUCGGUGGUUUGGUGCGCCGUGUGUGUGUCUCUGAGGGUCAGCUGGUGGCCUUCAGAUAUGAUGGGGCCCUCACAACCUUCUUUACGGUCAUGUUGUUUGACGUGGUUCAUGUUGCAGCUCAGUCUGCGACCGUGGGUUCAGCCACUUGCGGCUGCUCGCAGGGACGGGGCGAGGGAGCAUCGGAGUGUGUCGUGUUAACUGACACGUCGCAUUUACUCACCACUGCCGCGGUAGCAGUGUCAGGUCAUGUUGUCUAGUAUCACAGCGGGCCAGUAACUUGACACUCGGUUGAGGUUAAGCGGUUCAGUGGUGAGUCGCGCUGUUGCGACGGGGGCUGGACCACAUUUAGGACAAGAGAGUCUGCCCACACCUGCGUAAUCCCAGCUUCUCCAUCAGCACACAUGUACGGAUCUGCCUCCUGGGGCACGCUUAAAUCUUUGUGGAAGGAGGCUUGAGGUGGGGGGGGGGAGUUUAUGAAAAACACAUUUCGCGGUGUCAGCGGAUCUCUUGAUAUGAAACACCCACUUACACACGGCUGGCGUAUGUUGUGAGGGUGUGACUGUGAUGCUGAGCGCUGUCAGCGGUCCCCACCACAGCCGUUAAGGCGCGCACAGAGCAGGCCGCCGCAUCCACAGCAGGCCGCCACAUCCACAGCAGGCCGCCGCAUCCACACAUGGUGUGUUACGGACCAUCUUCAGAGACAUUCCAUCCGGCAGGCAAGCAAAAGUGUCAAAUUUACAUUGUGCUAUUUAACUUUUACACGAUGUCCAUUGAUAAGCAUUAAAAAUAAACGUCUGAGCAUCGACACAAACAGAAUCUGUAGGUGCAAGAACAGUGACAUUCGGCCAUGUUUUCAUACCGCUACAUCAUGUGCAAAAACUGAAUUUUCAUUAAUUGCACACAGGUGUUCCAGACUGUACACAAAAUACUCCUGAGCAGGGAAGCUUAACGCACCAGAGGGACCAUCACACGUCCUGAUGAUGUGGACUGGAGUGCCCUAAAUCCACUGUGGGGUUAUAGAAGACGGUGCCAUUCACUGAGUACAAUCAUAUGACAGCAGGGCACUUCAGCAGAAUGGCUACGGCGCUGACGCGGAAAGCCGGAGCGAGCAUCAUUAUCCCCGGUGCGGGGCUCUGACGGUGGGGAUCUGGAGUGAGGGAGUCGGCGCUCGGCUUGCAUCUCCCUGGGCGAUCCGACGCAAUCAAUCUGCCCAAAAACAUCUGGACAUGUUCACAUGGCCCGGGCUGCUCCGGCGACGUGCUUUAAACAGAGAGCAAUGGCGCAAAGCGUGAAACGUGCGAUGGCUUUAGCGGGACGAAGCGCCGGCGCCGCAGUCCGACCCUGACGGGAAAAUGUGGCAUGUAAUGCUUGAAUUUAGUGAAAUCCCCAGUGUGACAGUCACUGGCAGCCAUUAUAUAAUUUAAACCUAACACACAAUCUUUUGUAAUGCUUCUAUCGUCACAAUCAUAGGCCUAUCUAUAAAGAAAAAUUGAAAGUAUCAUUAACCGUUUCAUCUUAAUGCCCUUUCCGUUAUCAGAAACGAUUGGACCAAGUAUCGUUAUAAGAUGGAUGCCCGGGUUCAUUCCAUUAAAUUCCGAUACUUUUUUUUUUUUUGCCGCGGGGAGGCGCUAUACGUAAAAUAACCCGUAUUUCUGUUUAAUCGGAUUUUGUGUAUUUUAUUCUGUCGUUAAUUUUGCCCUUGUAAUUAUGCAUGUUCCUUACUCAUGUAAAAUGCAACACGGGUUGUAAAUAUAUGAAUAAAUGCUAUAUUUUAACAAUU